UCUGCGUUUGUUUCUUCAUUUUUUUUUCUGCAGAAGAUGAAAAGGAACUCUUUGUAAUUUAUAUAUCAACGCUUGAAGAUUGACGUGUGUGAUAUUACGCAGAUUGUUGCUGUGGCAAAUUUGACGCCAGCUAAUGAUUCGGUGGACGAGCUUGAUAGUUACAUGUAUCAAACUGCUCUAUGACUUCUUUAUGGGAAAUUGUUGGCACAUGUCAUCAUAUCAAGCUAUCAUCAGCCCCUUCAAGUACUCAUGUAAUCAAUCGGAAGAUAAUUUUAAUCUAGCUAGCAUUUUCUAUAUUUGAAAACCAGUUUAAUUAUAUUAUGAUUUUGUAAUAUGAAGUUACUUAAUUGAUAUAAUUUACUA
Rosa chinensis is the source of this 363-nucleotide long non-coding RNA. RefSeq lists it as uncharacterized. The record is from RefSeq and is a predicted model, not a curated record. The transcript is spliced from 2 exons. NCBI's taxonomy places the organism in Eukaryota, Viridiplantae, Streptophyta, Magnoliopsida, Rosales, Rosaceae.